GUCCCUAAUUUUUAGGUUUUUACGUUCUAAGCGGCUAUGUUUUAAUACAAAAUCAAGAAUAAAUGUAACGGUUGUAAAAUUAACACGGAAGAAUUUCAUGGAGUGGCGGCAUUUCAAAUGUUGUCUACAUAAACAAUAUUCAAACCAUAUAGUACAAGUUGAUGGAAUUCAACUUGUAUUUAAAAUUUCGUGUAGCAGCUUGAAGUGGGUUUCAAGACUUAUGUGGAAGAAGUAUGUGGUUGUUCCACACAAAGGAAUCAUGACCUCCCCGACCAUGGCCAGCCAAAACAUUUAAAAGAUUGUACUCCGCAUCA
Long non-coding RNA from Pectinophora gossypiella (pink bollworm), 314 nucleotides. RefSeq lists it as uncharacterized. NCBI's taxonomy places the organism in Eukaryota, Metazoa, Arthropoda, Insecta, Lepidoptera, Gelechiidae. The transcript is spliced from 2 exons. The record is from RefSeq and is a predicted model, not a curated record.